RNAcentral lists this ribosomal RNA (455 nucleotides) under uncultured bacterium. RNAcentral describes it as "bacterial SSU rRNA". It matches the Rfam family "Bacterial small subunit ribosomal RNA", at positions 340 to 786 of the family's 1533-position model. The record is from RNAcentral.
UACGGAAGGCAGCAGUGGGGAAUAUUGCACAAUGGGCGAAAGCCUGAUGCAGCUAUGCCGCGUGUAUGAAGAAGGCCUUAGGGUUGUAAAGUACUUUCAUCGGGGAGGAAAAACAAAACUAAUAAUUUUAUUUCUUGACGUUACCCGAAAAAGAAGCACCGGCUAACUCCGUGCCAGCAGCCGCGGUAAUACGGAGGGUGCUAGCGUUAAUCAGAAUUACUGGGCGUAAAGAGCACGUAGGUGGUUUUUUAAGUCAGAUGUGAAAUCCCUGGGCUUAACCUAGGAACUGCAUUUUGAAACUGAAAUACUAGAGUAUCGUAGAGGGAGGUAGAAUUCUAGGUGUAGCGGUGAAAUGCGUAGAUAUCUGGAGGAAUACCUGUGGCGAAAGCGGCCUCCUAAACGAAUACUGACACUGAGGUGCGAAAGCGUGGGGAGCAAACAGGGAUUAGGAUACC